UUGGAUUGAGAACAACGUACAAACCUUAUCGAUAAACAAUUGGAGGGCAAGUCUGGUGCCAGCAGCCGCGGUAAUUCCAGCUCCAAUAGCGUAUAUUAACGUUGUUGCAGUUAAAAAGCUCGUAGUUGAAAUGAAGGGUAGUUGUGUAAUGAAUACAUUCGUGUAUUUUGUUAUUCUACUACCCUCCUUCUAAAUUCGAUAUAUGAGUAUUAAUUUACUUGUAUAUGGUUUUAGACGUUUACUGUGAGAAAAUUAGAGUGUUCAAAGCAGGCAUUUGCUUGAAUAUAUUAGCAUGGAAUAAUCAUGUAUGAUUUUCAUGAUGUAUUUGAUUGGUUUGGUUCAUGAGAAUAAGAUUAAAAGGGACAGUUGGGGGUAUUCAUAUUCAAUAGUCAGAGGUGAAAUUCUCGGAUUUAUGGAAGAUGAACAAGUGCGAAAGCA
Molecule: ribosomal RNA, 438 nt
Filed under: Blastocystis sp.
Lineage: Eukaryota; Bigyra; Opalinata; Blastocystidae
Description: SSU rRNA
Rfam family: Eukaryotic small subunit ribosomal RNA
Source: RNAcentral